RNAcentral lists this ribosomal RNA (500 nucleotides) under uncultured bacterium. RNAcentral's name for it is "partial 16S ribosomal RNA". It matches the Rfam family "Bacterial small subunit ribosomal RNA", at positions 30 to 523 of the family's 1533-position model. The record is from RNAcentral.
AUUGAACGCUGGCGGCAGGCCUAACACAUGCAAGUCGAGCGGAUGAGUGGAGCUUGCUCCAUGAUUCAGCGGCGGACGGGUGAGUAAUGCCUAGGAAUCUGCCUGGCAGUGGGGGACAACGUUUCGAAAGGAACGCUAAUACCGCAUACGUCCUACGGGAGAAAGCAGGGGACCUUCGGGCCUUGCGCUAUCAGAUGAGCCUAGGUCGGAUUAGCUAGUAGGUGGGGUAAUGGCCCACCUAGGCGACGAUCCGUAACUGGUCUGAGAGGAUGAUCAGUCACAUUGGAACUGAGACACGGUCCAGACUCCUACGGGAGGCAGCAGUGGGGAAUAUUGGACAAUGGGCGAAAGCCUGAUCCAGCCAUGCCGCGUGUGUGAAGAAGGUCUUCGGAUUGUAAAGCACUUUAAGUUGGGAGGAAGGGCAGUAAGUUAAUACCUUGCUGUUUUGACGCUACCAACAGAAUAAGCACCGGCUAACUUCGUGCCAGCAGCCGCGGUAA